CCUACGGGAGGCUGCAGUGGGGAAUAUUGGACAAUGGGGGCAACCCUGAUCCAGCCAUGCCGCGUGUGUGAAGAAGGCCCUCGGGUUGUAAAGCACUUUCAGUGAGGAAGAACGCCUGGUGGUUAAUACCCAUCAGGAAAGACAUCACUCACAGAAGAAGCACCGGCUAACUCCGUGCCAGCAGCCGCGGUAAUACGGAGGGUGCGAGCGUUAAUCGGAAUUACUGGGCGUAAAGCGCGCGUAGGUGGCUUGAUAAGCCGGUUGUGAAAGCCCCGGGCUCAACCUGGGAACGGCAUCCGGAACUGUCAAGCUAGAGUGCGGGAGAGGAAGGUAGAAUUCCCGGUGUAGCGGUGAAAUGCGUAGAGAUCGGGAGGAAUACCAGUGGCGAAGGCGGCCUUCUGGACUGACACUGACACUGAGGUGCGAAAGCGUGGGUAGCAAACAGGAUUAGAUACCCGUGUAGUC
This 465-nucleotide ribosomal RNA is filed under the name Vreelandella stevensii. Its description in RNAcentral is "partial 16S ribosomal RNA". It matches the Rfam family "Bacterial small subunit ribosomal RNA", at positions 338 to 795 of the family's 1533-position model. The record is from RNAcentral. Lineage: Bacteria; Pseudomonadati; Pseudomonadota; Gammaproteobacteria; Oceanospirillales; Halomonadaceae.